Long non-coding RNA from Megalobrama amblycephala (Wuchang bream), 403 nucleotides. RefSeq lists it as uncharacterized. The record is from RefSeq and is a predicted model, not a curated record. The transcript is spliced from 2 exons. Lineage: Eukaryota; Metazoa; Chordata; Actinopteri; Cypriniformes; Xenocyprididae.
UCCCCUGGCCGGGCUGCAUGGAGCCGCGCUUCACGGAAAACAAGGGAAUGAGGAAGAGACCGAUGAAGCAGCCACGCUUGUCCGGGAUUCUCUCAUUCUGCUGCGUUUAGCUGGGCUCUGUCUAUUCUUUUCCCUCCCUCUCUUGCACUCUCUUUCUCAUCGAUUCCCUCCAACUGUCCGUCCGAGAACAACUGCGCUCGAUCUCUCCCGGCCGUCGUUUUCUCGUCCACUCUCUUGCGUUCACACACACGCAUAGACCGACAAGACUUCUCGUUCCUCUUUCUCCUUUCACAUACCAGACGAAGGCUAGGGUGUGUGCGGCGAGCAGGAGACGCAGACGAAGCGGCGAGAAAUGAAAGCACAAAGCAGCAAAACGCAUCAGCAUGAAUAUUAGAGAUGUCGU